RNAcentral lists this ribosomal RNA (717 nucleotides) under uncultured Escherichia sp. Its description in RNAcentral is "bacterial SSU rRNA". It matches the Rfam family "Bacterial small subunit ribosomal RNA", at positions 64 to 776 of the family's 1533-position model. The record is from RNAcentral. Lineage: Bacteria; Pseudomonadati; Pseudomonadota; Gammaproteobacteria; Enterobacterales; Enterobacteriaceae.
UAACAGAAAGCAGCUUGCUGCUUUGCUGACGAGUGGCGGACGGGUGAGUAAUGUCUGGGAAACUGCCUGAUGGAGGGGGAUAACUACUGGAAACGGUAGCUAAUACCGCAUAACGUCGCAAGACCAAAGAGGGGGACCUUAGGGCCUCUUGCCAUCGGAUGUGCCCAGAUGGGAUUAGCUAGUAGGUGGGGUAACGGCUCACCUAGGCGACGAUCCCUAGCUGGUCUGAGAGGAUGACCAGCCACACUGGAACUGAGACACGGUCCAGACUCCUACGGGAGGCAGCAGUGGGGAAUAUUGCACAAUGGGCGCAAGCCUGAUGCAGCCAUGCCGCGUGUAUGAAGAAGGCCUUCGGGUUGUAAAGUACUUUCAGCGGGGAGGAAGGGAGUAAAGUUAAUACCUUUGCUCAUUGACGUUACCCGCAGAAGAAGCACCGGCUAACUCCGUGCCAGCAGCCGCGGUAAUACGGAGGGUGCAAGCGUUAAUCGGAAUUACUGGGCGUAAAGCGCACGCAGGCGGUUUGUUAAGUCAGAUGUGAAAUCCCCGGGCUCAACCUGGGAACUGCAUCUGAUACUGGCAGGCUUGAGUCUCGUAGAGGGGGGUAGAAUUCCAGGUGUAGCGGUGAAAUGCGUAGAGAUCUGGAGGAAUACCGGUGGCGAAGGCGGCCCCCUGGACGAAGACUGACGCUCAGGUGCGAAAGCGUGGGGAGCAAACAGG